AGGGCAUACCAGUUCUCUUAUGAUCACCGCAGUUAAACAACGUCAAGCCUGGUCAGUACCUAGAUUAGUGACUGAUUGGGAAUACCAGGUGUUGUAA
This is a non-coding RNA of Acanthosepion pharaonis, 97 nucleotides long. Lineage: Eukaryota; Metazoa; Mollusca; Cephalopoda; Sepiida; Sepiidae. The record is from the annotation of a GenBank genome assembly.